RNAcentral lists this ribosomal RNA (484 nucleotides) under uncultured bacterium. Its description in RNAcentral is "partial 16S ribosomal RNA". It matches the Rfam family "Bacterial small subunit ribosomal RNA", at positions 30 to 507 of the family's 1533-position model. The record is from RNAcentral.
AUUGAACGCUGGCGGCAGGCCUAACACAUGCAAGUCGAGCGGAUGAAGGGAGCUUGCUCCUGGAUUCAGCGGCGGACGGGUGAGUAAUGCCUAGGAAUCUGCCUGGUAGUGGGGGAUAACGUCCGGAAACGGGCGCUAAUACCGCAUACGUCCUGAGGGAGAAAGUGGGGGAUCUUCGGACCUCACGCUAUCAGAUGAGCCUAGGUCAGAUUAGCUAGUUGGUGGGGUAAAGGCCUACCAAGGCGACGAUCCGUAACUGGUCUGAGAGGAUGAUCAGUCACACUGGAACUGAGACACGGUCCAGACUCCUACGGGAGGCAGCAGUGGGGAAUAUUGGACAAUGGGCGAAAGCCUGAUCCAGCCAUGCCGCGUGUGUGAAGAAGGUCUUCGGAUUGUAAAGCACUUUAAGUUGGGAGGAAGGGCGGUAAGUUAAUACCUUGCUGUUUUGACGUUACCAACAGAAUAAGCACCGGCUAACUUCGUG